CCCGCAAAACGUUCUAUCGCUGUGCCGACAUAGUCGGUGAGAGGAAAGUCCGGGCAACAUAGAGCAUCCUGCUUCCUAACGGGAAGGCGCCCGCAGCAGGCGACAGCAAGUGCCACAGAGAAUAUACCGCCCGCAAGGGUAAGGGUGAAAACGUGAGGUAAGAGCUCACGGCUUUUCCGGGCGACCGGGAUCGCGGUAAACCUCAGGAGUUGAAAAACCAAAUAGGUUCUGAAAGCGGUGCUGCUCGCAUCCAUGUCCGGCAACGGAAUGUCAGAAUGGGUAGGUUGAUAGAUCAUGCCGGCAACGGCAGGGCCAGAUUAAUGAUAGAAGCUCUCAUUCGGGAGUACAAAACCCGGCUUACAGAUUUGCUGCUGAG
RNAcentral lists this RNase P RNA (376 nucleotides) under Mucilaginibacter rigui. RNAcentral describes it as "RNase P RNA component class A". It matches the Rfam family "Bacterial RNase P class A". Rfam says of the family: Ribonuclease P (RNase P) is a ubiquitous endoribonuclease, found in archaea, bacteria and eukarya as well as chloroplasts and mitochondria. Its best characterised activity is the generation of mature 5'-ends of tRNAs by cleaving the 5'-leader elements of precursor-tRNAs. The record is from RNAcentral. Lineage: Bacteria; Pseudomonadati; Bacteroidota; Sphingobacteriia; Sphingobacteriales; Sphingobacteriaceae.